GCUGGCGGCGUGCCUAAUACAUGCAAGUAGAACGCUGAAGAGAGGAGCUUGCUCUUCUUGGAUGAGUUGCGAACGGGUGAGUAACGCGUAGGUAACCUGCCUUGUAGCGGGGGAUAACUAUUGGAAACGAUAGCUAAUACCGCAUAACAAUGGAUGACACAUGUCAUUUAUUUGAAAGGGGCAAUUGCUCCACUACAAGAUGGACCUGCGUUGUAUUAGCUAGUAGGUGAGGUAAUGGCUCACCUAGGCGACGAUACAUAGCCGACCUGAGAGGGUGAUCGGCCACACUGGGACUGAGACACGGCCCAGACUCCUACGGGAGGCAGCAGUAGGGAAUCUUCGGCAAUGGGGGCAACCCUGACCGAGCAACGCCGCGUGAGUGAAGAAGGUUUUCGGAUCGUAAAGCUCUGUUGUAAGUCAAGAACGGGUGUGAGAGUGGAAAGUUCACACUGUGACGGUAGCUUACCAGAAAGGGACGGCUAACUACGUGCCAGCAGCCGCGGUAAUACGUAGGUCCCGAGCGUUGUCCGGAUUUAUUGGGCGUAAAGCGAGCGCAGGCGGUUUGAUAAGUCUGAAGUUAAAGGCUGUGGCUCAACCAUAGUUCGCUUUGGAAACUGUCAAACUUGAGUGCAGAAGGGGAGAGUGGAAUUCCAUGUGUAGCGGUGAAAUGCGUAGAUAUAUGGAGGAACACCGGUGGCGAAAGCGGCUCUCUGGUCUGUAACUGACGCUGAGGCUCGAAAGCGUGGGGAGCGAACAGGAUUAGAUACCCUGGUAGUCCACGCCGUAAACGAUGAGUGCUAGGUGUUGGAUCCUUUCCGGGAUUCAGUGCCGCAGCUAACGCAUUAAGCACUCCGCCUGGGGAGUACGACCGCAAGGUUGAAACUCAAAGGAAUUGACGGGGGCCCGCACAAGCGGUGGAGCAUGUGGUUUAAUUCGAAGCAACGCGAAGAACCUUACCAGGUCUUGACAUCCCGAUGCUAUUUCUAGAGAUAGAAAGUUACUUCGGUACAUCGGUGACAGGUGGUGCAUGGUUGUCGUCAGCUCGUGUCGUGAGAUGUUGGGUUAAGUCCCGCAACGAGCGCAACCCCUAUUGUUAGUUGCCAUCAUUCAGUUGGGCACUCUAGCGAGACUGCCGGUAAUAAACCGGAGGAAGGUGGGGAUGACGUCAAAUCAUCAUGCCCCUUAUGACCUGGGCUACACACGUGCUACAAUGGUUGGUACAACGAGUUGCGAGUCGGUGACGGCGAGCUAAUCUCUUAAAGCCAAUCUCAGUUCGGAUUGUAGGCUGCAACUCGCCUACAUGAAGUCGGAAUCGCUAGUAAUCGCGGAUCAGCACGCCGCGGUGAAUACGUUCCCGGGCCUUGUACACACCGCCCGUCACACCACGAGAGUUUGUAACACCCGAAGUCGGUGAGGUAACCUUUUGGAG
RNAcentral lists this ribosomal RNA (1429 nucleotides) under Streptococcus thermophilus. RNAcentral describes it as "16S ribosomal RNA". It matches the Rfam family "Bacterial small subunit ribosomal RNA". The record is from RNAcentral. Lineage: Bacteria; Bacillati; Bacillota; Bacilli; Lactobacillales; Streptococcaceae.